UUAAACUCAUUGGCAGAUAAUUGCAAUAAAUUUAGAAUUUAUCGAUACACCA
RNAcentral lists this transfer RNA (52 nucleotides) under Sicarius rupestris. RNAcentral describes it as "tRNA-Leu". The record is from RNAcentral. Lineage: Eukaryota; Metazoa; Arthropoda; Arachnida; Araneae; Sicariidae.